RNAcentral lists this long non-coding RNA (374 nucleotides) under Citrus sinensis (sweet orange). Its description in RNAcentral is "long non-coding RNA (CSIN_LNC002480)". The record is from RNAcentral. Lineage: Eukaryota; Viridiplantae; Streptophyta; Magnoliopsida; Sapindales; Rutaceae.
UAAAGAGCUGCCCAAAUUCUUCAAACCCUCUCAAAUAUUCGAGGGCUGUCCACUCACGAAAUGAUCAUCGUGGCAUGUACUCCUCUGAAGCGCUGUCCAAAUUCUUCAAACCCUCUCAAAUAUUCGAGGGCUGUCCACUCACGAAAUGAUCAUCGUGGCAUGUACUCCUCUGAAGCGCUGUCCAAAUUCUUCAAACCCUCUCAAAUAUUCGAGGGCUGUCCACUCUACUCACAUUUCGUGAGGAAUAGACUGGCUCCACUCAAUUAUGUGAUAAUUGAGGAAUGAUUGUAAAUAAGCCCCAUAAAUGCUUUUAUGGAGGCUCGAACCCUUGCACUCAUUAUUCUAAGUGUAAGGACUUUCCCACUGGACCAAAG